AUGAAUUGGCCUGGGAACCCUGUUUGUUCAUUCUGUAAUGAAAUUGAGACUUCUGAGCACUUGUUCUUUACCUGUUCGGUCGCUAGGGUGGUGUGGCGAUCUAUUGGGGUGGCUAUUGGCACCGAUAAGUGUCCUGAUAACUAUUGGCAAUUCUUUGCUUGGUGUUAUUCAUUUCUUCCAGGAGGGGAUAAAUUUCAUACUGUUGGUCUUGCAGCCACUUGUUGGGCGAUCUGGCUUGCUCGCAAUAAGGCUACCUUUGAGAAAAAGCAAAUUAAGUCUCCUUUUGAAAUUGUGUUCUCUAUAUGCUCUUUUCUUUUGUAUUGGACAGGACUGCAGAAGGGUGAUGACGCUGACAAGCUUCGCUCAGGUGCCGAGAUGAUCAGGGCCAGCACGAUGCAGCUGAUGAGACUGUGCGGGACUACUGCCCAGCCGAUUGGAGGAGCGUGA
RNAcentral lists this ribosomal RNA (447 nucleotides) under Triticum aestivum (bread wheat). RNAcentral describes it as "partial small subunit ribosomal RNA". Lineage: Eukaryota; Viridiplantae; Streptophyta; Magnoliopsida; Poales; Poaceae. The record is from RNAcentral.